RNAcentral lists this ribosomal RNA (253 nucleotides) under uncultured bacterium. RNAcentral's name for it is "partial 16S ribosomal RNA". It matches the Rfam family "Bacterial small subunit ribosomal RNA", at positions 524 to 776 of the family's 1533-position model. The record is from RNAcentral.
UACGUAGGGUGCGAGCGUUGUCCGGAAUUAUUGGGCGUAAAGGGCUCGUAGGCGGUUUGGUGCGUCAGGAGUGAAAACUCGGGGCUUAACCCCGAGCCUGCUUCUGAUACGGGCAGACUAGAGGUAUGCAGGGGAGAACGGAAUUCCUGGUGUAGCGGUGAAAUGCGCAGAUAUCAGGAGGAACACCGGUGGCGAAGGCGGUUCUCUGGGCAUUACCUGACGCUGAGGCGCGAAAGUGUGGGGAGCGAACAGG